This 424-nucleotide long non-coding RNA is filed under the name Phoenix dactylifera (date palm). Its description in RNAcentral is "long non-coding RNA (PDAC_LNC009953)". The record is from RNAcentral. Lineage: Eukaryota; Viridiplantae; Streptophyta; Magnoliopsida; Arecales; Arecaceae.
UACAAGUCAAUUCAUGUCUGAGCAAUUCACUUUACAAAUACUCAAUGUUUUGUCAUCAUCAAAAAGGGGAAGAUUGUGGAGUGAUUGAUUAAACCUCUAUUUGAUUUUGAUGAGCUCAAAGCAUUUGAGUAUAUCUUAUGUUAUACUAAUUAAUUCAAUCUAGUAUUUCAGACAUAUAUGUGUAUAUUUUCAAUUAAGUGCCUCAAGCUUUGGUUCAAAAUAAGUUGGAUAAGUAUUGAACCCUAUUUGAACCAAGGGCUGAUUCUCGAGUCAACUCCGGAAGAUUACGAGUCGACUCCAAAUGGUUCAGAGUUUCUGGCAUGAGCUCGAGUCGACUCCGAUACUCUACGAGUCGACUCCGACUGAGAACAGAAAGAAAGACAGAAAGAUGGUUUUCAGACUCUGUUAGCGAGCCGACUCCAAA